AAAAAAGGUAAGCUACUAAGAGCGAAUGGUGGAUGCCUUGACUGGUAAAGGCGAUGAAGGACGUACUAGACUGCGAUAAGCUACGGGGAGCUGUCAAGAAGCUUUGAUCCGUAGAUUUCCGAAUGGGGCAACCCAAUGUAUAGAGAUAUACAUUACCUAUAUAGGAGCGAACGAGGGGAAUUGAAACAUCUUAGUACUCUCAGGAAAAGAAAUCAAUAGAGAUUGCGUCAGUAGCGGCGAGCGAAAGCGCAAGAGGGCAAACCCAGUGCUUGCACUGGGGGUUGUAGGACUGCAAUGUGCAAGAGGUAAGUUUAGCAGAACAUUCUGGAAAGUAUAACCAUAGAGGGUGAUAGUCCCGUAUGCGAAAAACAAACCUUAGCUAGCAGUAUCCUGAGUAGGGCGGGACACGAGGAAUCCUGUCUGAAUCCGGGUCGACCACGAUCCAACCCUAAAUACUAAUACCAGAUCGAUAGUGCACAAGUACCGUGAGGGAAAGGUGAAAAGAACUGAGGUGAUCAGAGUGAAAUAGAACCUGAAACCAUUUGCUUACAAUCAUUCAGAGCCCUAUGUAGCAAUACAGGGUGAUGGACUGCCUUUUGCAUAAUGAGCCUGCGAGUUGUGGUGUCUGGCAAGGUUAAGCAAACGCGAAGCCGUAGCGAAAGCGAGUCUGAAUAGGGCGCUUAGUCAGAUGCUGCAGACCCGAAACGAAGUGAUCUAUCCAUGAGCAAGUUGAAGCUAGUGUAAGAACUAGUGGAGGACUGAACCCAUAGGCGUUGAAAAGCCCCGGGAUGACUUGUGGAUAGGGGUGAAAGGCCAAUCAAACUUCGUGAUAGCUGGUUCUCUCCGAAAUAUAUUUAGGUAUAGCGUUGUGUCGUAAUAUAAGGGGGUAGAGCACUGAAUGGGCUAGGGCAUACACCAAUGUACCAAACCCUAUCAAACUCCGAAUACCUUAUAUGUAAUCACAGCAGUCAGGCGGCGAGUGAUAAAAUCCGUCGUCAAGAGGGAAACAACCCAGACUACCAGCUAAGGUCCCUAAAUCUUACUUAAGUGGAAAACGAUGUGAAGUUACUUAAACAACCAGGAGGUUGGCUUAGAAGCAGCCAUCCUUUAAAGAAAGCGUAAUAGCUCACUGGUCUAGUGAUUUUGCGCGGAAAAUAUAACGGGGCUAAAGUAAGUACCGAAGCUGUAGACUUGCGCACAACUUAGAUUAUUUAAGUUUAGAAUAUGAGAAACUAAGUUAUGUUUAGUUAUAUUUUUACUGAUUUUUAUAGAGUAAAGAUAGAAAUAAAACUUAGUAAAAUCAGUAAAAAUAUUCUUAGGCUAAAGUUAAGUAGUUUAAGUUGUGUGCAAGUGGUAGGAGAGCGUUCUAUUUGCGUCGAAGGUAUACCGGUAAGGAGUGCUGGAGCGAAUAGAAGUGAGCAUGCAGGCAUGAGUAGCGAUAAUUAAUGUGAGAAUCAUUAACGCCGUAAACCCAAGGUUUCCUACGCGAUGCUCGUCAUCGUAGGGUUAGUCGGGUCCUAAGUCGAGUCCGAAAGGGGUAGACGAUGGCAAAUUGGUUAAUAUUCCAAUACCAACAUUAGUGUGCGAUGGAAGGACGCUUAGGGCUAAGGGGGCUAGCGGAUGGAAGUGCUAGUCUAAGGUCGUAGGAGGUUAUACAGGCAAAUCCGUAUAACAAUACUCCGAGAACUGAAAGGCUUUUUGAAGUCUUCGGAUGGAUAGAAGAACCCCUGAUGCCGUCGAGCCAAGAAAAGUUUCUAAGUUUAGCUAAUGUUGCCCGUACCGUAAACCGACACAGGUGGGUGGGAUGAGUAUUCUAAGGCGCGUGGAAGAACUCUCUUUAAGGAACUCUGCAAAAUAGCACCGUAUCUUCGGUAUAAGGUGUGGUUAGCUUUGUAUUAGGAUUUACUCCGAAAG
RNAcentral lists this ribosomal RNA (1914 nucleotides) under Campylobacter jejuni. RNAcentral's name for it is "partial 23S ribosomal RNA". It matches the Rfam family "Bacterial large subunit ribosomal RNA", at positions 1 to 1784 of the family's 2925-position model. Lineage: Bacteria; Pseudomonadati; Campylobacterota; Epsilonproteobacteria; Campylobacterales; Campylobacteraceae. The record is from RNAcentral.